This 705-nucleotide long non-coding RNA is filed under the name Coffea arabica (coffee). RNAcentral describes it as "long non-coding RNA (CARA_LNC004015)". Lineage: Eukaryota; Viridiplantae; Streptophyta; Magnoliopsida; Gentianales; Rubiaceae. The record is from RNAcentral.
AGAGAUGGAGAUCCCAGACAACUACAUUGAAUCUCUCCCCAAGGUACAAAUGAAGAAAUCAGAAGUCACCACGGCCUUCACAAAAUCUCUAAGUUUCCUUCAAAAAAAAGAAAAGAAAACAAGAAUCUCUAAUUAUGAUGUAAUAAUAAUAAAUAUUUGUUCACCACUCUGGUCUUUGGUAGAAUGGUAGAGCAAGCCUUGGGGACUCAACCUAUAAGAGCAUCACUUUCGAGUUUUUCGAUCCCGAACAGUUCCUUUCAACCAUGGACUUGUCAUCAGAGCAUAAAGUCCUUGACCUAAAGAACAGAAUAGAGGCAUCCAUCAUCAUUUGGAAAAGGAAGAUGCAUCAUAAAGACGGGAAGUCUUCCUGGGGUUCAGCAGUGAGCUUGGAGAAGAGGGAGCUCUUUGAAGAGAGAGCAGAAACAAUCUUACUGCUACUAAAACAGAGAUUCCCUGGACUCCCUCAAUCCUCUCUUGACAUCUGCAAAAUCCAAUAUAACAGAGUAUGAGUUUAGACCAAAUUAUUAUCUUUUAUCUAAAUGUGCCCCGAAUAAAUUUUUAACACAAACUUUUGUUCAAGGGUUCAAAAAUUGUUAGUAUUCUUUUCUAACCUGAUAUAACAUUACAGGAUGUGGGGUAUGCAAUUCUGGAGAGCUAUUCAAGGGUGCUUGAAAGCUUGGCCAACACUGUCAUGUCUCGCAUUGA